AGUAUGUGGUUUAAUUCGAAGCAACGCGAAGAACCUUACCAGGGCUUUGACAUCCCUUGAAGCAGCUAGAGAUAGCUGUGUCCUUCGGGACAAGGAGACAGGUGCUGCAUGGCUGUCGUCAGCUCGUGUCGUGAGAUGUUGGGUUAAGUCCGCUAACGAGCGCAACCCUCGCUGUGUGUUAUAUGUGUCACACGGGACUGCCGGUCUUAAGCCGGAGGAAGGUGGGGAUGAUGUCAAGUCAGCAUGGCCUUUAUAUCCUGGGCUACACACACGCUACAAUGGCCAGCACAGUAGGUUGCUAAGCCGCGAGGUGGAGCCAAUCCAUAAAGCUGGUCUCAGUUCAGAUUGCAGGCUGCAACCCGCCUGCAUGAAGAUGGAGUUGCUAGUAACCGCAGGUCAGCUAUACUGCGGUGAAUACGUUCCCGGGGCUU
This 431-nucleotide ribosomal RNA is filed under the name uncultured Leptolinea sp. Its description in RNAcentral is "bacterial SSU rRNA". It matches the Rfam family "Bacterial small subunit ribosomal RNA", at positions 936 to 1382 of the family's 1533-position model. Lineage: Bacteria; Bacillati; Chloroflexota; Anaerolineae; Anaerolineales; Anaerolineaceae. The record is from RNAcentral.